GAAAGGCUUCAGACUAGGGAAAUACUCUAGGCUUUGGCUUAUUUGAUUGUGUCCGUUUGGCGGAGUUUUUUGAGGCUGUGAAGCUGUACAUUUUUUUUUUUUUUGAAUGCAUGUUACACAUCAACUAGAAGUUAAACACCUUGCCUGUGAGUACAUUUUUUUUUAAGUGAAAAGCCCUGGUGUUAAUGAAUGAGAGAAAUGACCACAGGGGGGCGCUGUAUCCCUUUCCUGUGCGCAAGAGGCCCUCCCCAGGGUUGCUGGAGUUGCGGACCCGCCAUCCUUAGAGGAGAGAUUUGUGGUCUUGAUUCAGAGCGCUGGCUGCGGAGGAUGGGAGCGAGGUGUUGCAAGCUCACUUGGUGGUCCCGUGUAGGUUAAACACCUAAGGAAUGCCACAUUCUUCGGAGAAAUUAAGAUUCCUGCCUUGCUGUAAAUAGACACCCACGAGGAGAUGGGGCAGUUCUGGAACGGCCAGGCCCUGCUGUUAUCGACGGAAAUCCUGUGUGGUGACUCAGCUUCUUCAAAUGUGGAGACUAGAUCACAGCUUCCUUAUCGCUUUAACGUCCCUGGUCCUCAUGAUGACACUCAGCCAAGAGGCAAAGGAGGUGAGAUCCAUGUGAGACACCAGGAUUGGUUGAAAAAUCUCAGGAUGAAGUUGGAACAAAGCCUUCCUACUCCUCAGCUCUUAGAGCUCCAGGGUCUUCCUAGCUUCCCAGCUGAGCUGCUCUUCCCUACAAGGAUUUCUGUGACUGUCCAGACCAAGAAUGCAGUCUCCAAGAUCCAUAACAUCAACCAGACAAGAGGUCUUGGGAAGACCCUCAGAGACAGUGAGGACCAUGGCCAGCUCAAGGGUUGUGUAUGACCUAAGAGGACUGAUGUGAGUUGGUCUCUCUUGAGAAAGAGAGCUGAUCAGGUGUGUCAAGAAGACUUAAGAUGGGAAUUGACUCAAGCAGAUAUGAAAACCUGGAAGGUUCACCAUGUGGUACCUGCAAGCUAAAGAAUGAAGAAGGCCAGCAUUUUCAUACGGACUGGGUCUGAAGGUCUAAGAACCAAGCCAACUUCUGAGGCAGAAGAUAGAGAAGAAGAGGAGAUGGAUGUUCCAGCUAAAAGAACCCCAGAAUUUCACCCUUCCUUUCUAUUCCACGCAAACUCUGGGUAGAUGAGAUGGUGUUGCCUGCCAUGGUGGGGGUGGGUCUUUAUCAUCCACCAACUCAAGUGACAAUCUCUUCCAGAAACUCCCUCCUGGACACACCUAGAAAUGAUGUUCUGAUUAGUUUCCUGGGCAUCCUUGAGCCUAGUCAGGUCAACACACAAAAAAAUUAAUAAUCACAGAGUUUGAUUUCCACUAAACCCAAGUCAGAGUCACUCUGGAAUAAAUGGGUGGUGUUGCCAUUUACUCUGCUUCCACAGAUGCUGAACACCCACAUUUUAAGGUCAGAUAGAGAGAGCUCAACUUAAAAAAGAAAACACAACACGGGCUGGUGAGAUGACUCCAUGGGUACUGGUGCUUGCGAUGCAAGCCUGGUGACCUGAGUUCAAUUCCCUGGAUCCCGUGAAAGGGUGGACGGAGAAAACCUGCUCCACAAAGUUAUCCUCUGACCUCCACAUGUGCACUGUGGUGUGUGUGUGUGCAUACACAUGUAAUUCAUAAAUAAAUUAAAUAAAUUUAGAAUCAACUCAUCUCCAACAAACAAGAACAAGCAUGAUCUAGGACAUAAGCAAAAGUCUGUGGAUCAGAUUUAGCCAGUAGCUGCUGUCUGUCUUUGAGGUCUAUCUUUACAAAUUUUACAGGACUCUGUCUGUCUCUUAUGCUGUGUUUACAAGGCCUAUCAUGCUUGGCUCUGCAGCCAUUCAUGAACUUUUUUACUUGUCACCACCUACAAGUGGACGUUGUGGGAUGCUGGGGAAAAAACAGGACCUGGCACACUUGUAUAGAAGGGACAGCAGUGUGUUCAGAUCAGUGUCUGCUGGUGUCCAUCCUUGGUUUAUCCACAGAGCCCAGAUAUAACUCCAUCAUGCAGGUAGCACACAGGGCAGGUAGUCAUGAUUUAUUAUACAUUUUUUGAGACAAGGUCUCAC
This is a non-coding RNA of Peromyscus maniculatus bairdii (prairie deer mouse), 2076 nucleotides long. The record is from RefSeq and is a predicted model, not a curated record. Lineage: Eukaryota; Metazoa; Chordata; Mammalia; Rodentia; Cricetidae.